Molecule: ribosomal RNA, 317 nt
Filed under: Boophis narinsi
Lineage: Eukaryota; Metazoa; Chordata; Amphibia; Anura; Mantellidae
Description: partial 16S ribosomal RNA
Rfam family: Bacterial large subunit ribosomal RNA
Source: RNAcentral
UCAGUGAAACUGAUCUUCCCGUGAAGAAGCGGGAAUAUACAUAUAAGACGAGAAGACCCCAUGGAGCUUUAAACCCAACAGCACCUAUUCUUUUUAAAUCCACUUAUUCUUAUAGUAAGUGCUUGCUUGGUUUUAGGUUGGGGUGACCGCGGAGUAAAAAUAAGCCUCCACGAAAAAAGGCAUAANAGCCUUAUCAAAGAAUCACACUUCUAUGAAUUAGUAAACUAAUUUUUGAUGAUCCGAUAUUCGAUCAACGAACCAAGUUACCCUGGGGAUAACAGCGCAAUCCACCUCAAGAGCUCUUAUCGACAAGUGGG